Long non-coding RNA from Ictalurus punctatus (channel catfish), 1751 nucleotides. The record is from Ensembl. Lineage: Eukaryota; Metazoa; Chordata; Actinopteri; Siluriformes; Ictaluridae.
GGUUUCCUCACACUGGAGGAAUGAUUAACUAAUAAGACGCAAUUAAUUGAACUCUGUGAAUUUAUCCGCUUCGAUGGAUUGUCACUUUUGGACCGUAAUGGCAGUUUAUGUGUCAAGAACAGCGCUGCGAUAAGGAGAGGUAAGGAACUAACUUCAAAUCAUCCGCCCCCUUAGAAAAACAGACUAUGGCAUGUGUGGUAUGGUCCUCAGAACUUUCUCUAGCUGCAUACUGAUUAUUUAUUAUUUAGGGAAAAUGCCUGUCGUUUGCUUGCCCAUCAAGUUUUAAACGUUUUUUUUUUUUAUCCUUUAAAAACAAACAAACAGUGAAACUAUCACUUUGUAAACUGUCACUGUAUGUUUGUGUGUGAGAGCACGAUCCCCAGUGUUACACUAAUACCCUAUUACUAAACUAUAGCCUAACUCUUAAAAGUUAGCCCUCUGUGUAUAUAUUUGGUAUGUUGUCUAUUAUAUCAAAAGCCUGAAUUGAAGAUGCAGAGCCAUUAAGAUGAUUACUGAUACAUGAAGUUUCAUUUAAGCACAAAUGGUUUGUCUCAAAUGACUUUGCCUCACUUACGAGGAGCACAUGGACGAGGAGGUGGACGGCAGUGGGAAGGAAGAACAGAAUGCUGAUGACCCUGCUCUUCCUUGUGCCAGCCUUGUGGCACAGAACCAGCCUCAGCACCACCAUGAGCUCUACACACAAGACCAGGACCUUCCCAUCAUGCACUGGGAGGAUUUGAGUUUGCGAAUAGCCGAGCUUGAGAAACAGGAGGAAGAGAGGAGGAAAAGAGCUGAGUCCAUGGGUUUAACAGACCAAGAACCAGUGCCAGGACCCUGGCCUCAUGUAAAGCACCAGUCACUUAACAGAAAGCAGUGGGAAGAUGCAGGUGAUCUUGGAGGACAUCGUUUUCCAUGCAUUACAUCUCGGUUUAACACUCCUAAAAACCUGCAGCUGUGUUUUAUCAACGAUAGUGAGAGCGAUCAAGAGGGUGAUGAAGGGGCAUCCUUCAGAGAGAGGCCACAUGAUUCACAGGGACAGGGGCGACAAUCUGCCGGCCUGAAACAGGAAGUCAGAGCAGCUCUGAAUGAGCUCCGAGAUAAGCUUUGGGCUGAGCAGGGGCAGCAACAGCAGCCGAGCCACAAGGACGUGAGCUUUAGGAGAAGAAAGCUUAGCCACAGUGACCUGCAAACCUGCUCUGUGCUUCAGCUAAAUGCUCUCAGGACUUCCCUCCAUGAAGACAUUCAGGAUCUGAGCUCAGAAUUAGUGAAGCAUCUGGUGGUGAGGGACAAUCUACGGACAAAGCAAGAUGCCAUGCUCCUGGAUGUUGUGGGUGAGCCUGGAACCUAUCCCAGGGAACUCGGGGCACAAGGCAGGGGACACCCUGGAGGGGUGCCAUCCCAUCACAGGACACAAUCGCACACACAGACACACUACGGCCAAUUUGGAAAUGCAAAUCAGCCUACAACACAUGUCUUUGAACUGUGGGAGGAAGCUGGAGUACCCAGAGGAAACCUCCGAAGUACGGGGAGAACAUGUGGAGUGGAGGUGAGAGGUGCAAGCCAAACAUAAAACUUGCAUAAAGUGCAAGUUUUGUUAAUCAUGUAGCCUAUGCAAUGACACCCAGUGUACUAACAGUUGCAAACGUUUUUAUUUUUAUUAUUAUUAUUUAAAUUUUUGUAAUAACCUUUACCUUCCUUUUAAUUCAAGAACCUUUAAACAAGAAGGAACAUUAACCUUGCAUUCUUGGCAG